GUAUAUGGUCAUGCCACUCUGAAUGCACCUGAUCUUAGCAGCUAAGCAGGUUCAGGCGAGGAGGUUAGAACAUGGUUUGUAAAAUUCCUGGAAAUACUGGUUGCUAUAGGCU
This 112-nucleotide ribosomal RNA is filed under the name Piliocolobus tephrosceles (Ugandan red Colobus). Lineage: Eukaryota; Metazoa; Chordata; Mammalia; Primates; Cercopithecidae. The record is from RNAcentral.